Molecule: ribosomal RNA, 315 nt
Filed under: uncultured eukaryote
Lineage: Eukaryota
Description: partial 18S ribosomal RNA
Rfam family: Eukaryotic small subunit ribosomal RNA
Source: RNAcentral
CCCUUAGACGUUCUGGGCCGCACGCGCGCUACACUGACCAGUGCAACAAGCAUCCGUCCUUGGCCGACAGGCCCGGGCAAUCUUUGAACGCUGGUCGUGAUGGGGAUAGACUUUUGCAAUUUUUGGUCUUCAACGAGGAAUUCCUAGUAAACGCAAGUCAUCAACUUGCAUUGAUUACGUCCCUGCCCUUUGUACACACCGCCCGUCGCACCUACCGAUUGGAUGGUCCGGUGAAGCCUCCGGAUUGGCGCGCACCCCGGUGCCGCCGAGAAGUUGGCUAAACCUUACCAUUUAGAGGAAGGUGAAGUCGUAACA